CCUUUACUCAAAUAAUGCAGGUUAAUGUGGGUAAGUCUCAUCCAAUCCUUUGAAGGCCUGAAGAACAAAGAGUGAGGUUUCUGGAAGAAGAAAAUUUUACCUCAAGCCUGCAAUGUAGAAAUUCUGCUUGAGUUUCCCGCCUGCUGGCCUGCCCUGUGGAAUUCGGAGUCAAGAAGGAGUCUUGUAAGCAUUAACUGAGAUAGUAUAUGAAGAGUGCUUUUGCACCGAGUGAACCUUCAAUCAACUGUACUAGUUUGUAUGCCUGGAAGAGCUGCUAUAUGGGAUCAGAAAGAAAAAUAAGGUGCAUACGCCAGAAAAAAAAUACUUGCAUAUGAGUACUAGGAGAUGCAUGACAAUGUUCACGGCAGCAGUAUUCAUGGCAGUGAAAAAUGAAAAGAACUGAAAUGCCCAUUGAUAAAAACGUCUACUUAUUUGUGUCAUCUUUGCACAGUGGAAUUGUGCGAGUGGAAAUGAUUGAUCUACAGCUAGGAGAAGCAGCAGAGCUCAAUCUCAAAAACAUAACGUUGUGUGGAAAAAGCUAACCUCAGAACACUUUGCGGCUCUAUCUUAGCAAACCAGGAGAGAAAUUCUCCUGAUGGCCUUGAAGAAGCAAACAGCCACCUGGUUAAGCCCCUGUGGAUAGUGCCAAGUGGCAGGAAAGUGGGAGCCACCUCUAGGACCUGAGGAUUAAAGUCAGUAAGAGCUGGGACCUCACUCAUGCAGACUCGAGGACAUGAAUUCGACCAACAACUUGAAUGAGCUUGGAAGUGGAUUCUUCCCUAGUCCAGUCUUCAGAAAUUAAGAAUGUUCCCAAAGAAUGAUGGAGACAUUUCAAAAGGAUACGGAAGCCAGAUUGUGGGCGCUUCUACUGGCCAACUCUGGGACAUCGUGGACAUCAAAAUAAAUUUGUAAUAAUAAAGGAUUAUAGCCUAUUAGUUAAAUCAGAAAAAUCUGAUUUAACUAAAUGAGUAGGAGGAAAAGAAAGCUCUUCCUUAUAUUAGAAAGUCAAUUAAUAAAUGCAGAAAGGAAUGAAAAAAUUAGAAAAGCCACCAUUUGGCAACCAUGGCAGGCAGAAUGGGGAGUAUGCCUCCAGACAGUAAUUCCUUUCAAACUGGUUUAUAGGAACUCACUGAGCUUGCUGAUCGACCUCUGAGAGGCAAAGUUUCUGAAUUAUGAAGUACUGAUUAUAUAAACUUAGACAGAGACAUGCUUCAUUAUUUAAUAGGACUGUGUCAAAAGCCUACUAUUAGGAUGAUGUGUUGGGUGUGGAACAGGGUCUCUUCCUGCCAGGAACACUGGUGAUUUCACUCCGUGUUCAGGCUGAUCUUUGAAGUUGAAGACAAGCAGAAGAAUCCUUCUAAAAUUUAGCCAUGCCCAUAGGCUGGGAGGGACACUGCUCCAUUCAGAGGCAGCAAAGCACAUUACUGUAUCUCCUAUAGAGCUUUGAGCAGUCCAGUGUACAUGGAGAAACUUAGUAAAUGUUGUUGAAUUAGUGAAUGAACAAAUCAAUGGACCAAGUCAGGGGUAAGUCUUACAUUUGUCAUCUAGGUGAUUAAGAAAGGAAAAAGUAUCUGUUUCAAGAGGAUUACAAUCUAACUGUACUCCAAUAGUAAAAUUUACUCUUUUGGAAUC
This 1632-nucleotide long non-coding RNA is filed under the name Homo sapiens (human). Its description in RNAcentral is "HSALNT0308981". Lineage: Eukaryota; Metazoa; Chordata; Mammalia; Primates; Hominidae. The record is from RNAcentral.